This 590-nucleotide ribosomal RNA is filed under the name uncultured bacterium. RNAcentral describes it as "bacterial SSU rRNA". It matches the Rfam family "Bacterial small subunit ribosomal RNA", at positions 338 to 945 of the family's 1533-position model. The record is from RNAcentral.
CCUACGGGAGGCAGCAGUGGGGAAUAUUGGACAAUGGGCGAAAGCCUGAUCCAGCAAUGCCGCGUGAGUGAUGAAGGCCUUCGGGUCGUAAAGCUCUUUUACCAGGGAUGAUAAUGACAGUACCUGGAGAAUAAGCUCCGGCUAACUCCGUGCCAGCAGCCGCGGUAAUACGGAGGGAGCUAGCGCUGUUCGGAAUUACUGGGCGUAAAGAGUACGUAGGCGGUUAUUCAAGUCAGAGGUGAAAGCCCGGGGCUCAACCCCGGAACUGCCUUUGAAACUAGAUAACUAGAGUCUUGGAGAGGUUAGUGGAAUUCCGAGUGUAGAGGUGAAAUUCGUAGAUAUUCGGAAGAACACCAGUGGCGAAGGCGACUAACUGGACAAGUACUGACGCUGAGGUACGAAAGCGUGGGGAGCAAACAGGAUUAGAUACCCUGGUAGUCCACGCCGUAAACGAUGAUAACUAGUUGUUCGGUCACUUGGUGACUGAGUGACGCAGCUAACGCAUUAAGUUAUCCGCCUGGGGAGUACGGUCGCAAGAUUAAAACUCAAAGGAAUUGACGGCUGAGAGNGCGAGACGACGACGAGGAGAG